CAGCAGCCGCGGGAAUACGUAGGGUGCAAGCGUUAAUCGGAAUUGCUGGGCGUAAAGCGUGCGCAGGCGGUUUUGUAAGACAGAGGUGAAAUCCCCGGGCUCAACCUGGGAACUGCCUUUGUGACUGCAAGGCUGGAGUGCGGCAGAGGGGGAUGGAAUUCCGCGUGUAGCAGUGAAGUGCGUAGAGAUGUGGAGGAACACCGAUGGCGAAGGCAGCCCCCUGGGCCAAUACUGACGCUCAUGCACGAAAGCGUGGGGAGCAAACAGGAUUAGAUACCCGUGUAGUCCCUGUCUCUUAUAA
Molecule: ribosomal RNA, 301 nt
Filed under: uncultured bacterium
Lineage: Bacteria
Description: partial 16S ribosomal RNA
Rfam family: Bacterial small subunit ribosomal RNA
Source: RNAcentral